GGGCGGUUAGCUCAGCUGGUAGAGCGCCUGCCUUACAAGCAGGAGGUCACUGGUUCGAUCCCAGUACCGCCCA
Molecule: transfer RNA, 73 nt
Filed under: Thermoleophilaceae bacterium
Lineage: Bacteria; Bacillati; Actinomycetota; Thermoleophilia; Thermoleophilales; Thermoleophilaceae
Also listed under: 2 other names
Description: tRNA-Val
Rfam family: tRNA
About the family: Transfer RNA (tRNA) molecules are approximately 80 nucleotides in length. Their secondary structure includes four short double-helical elements and three loops (D, anti-codon, and T loops).
Source: RNAcentral